AUUGAACGCUGGCGGCAUGCUUUACACAUGCAAGUCGAACGGUAACAGGUUAAGCUGACGAGUGGCGAACGGGUGAGUAAUGCAUCGGAACGUGCCCGGUCGUGGGGGAUAACGCAGCGAAAGUUGCGCUAAUACCGCAUACGAUCUGAGGAUGAAAGCGGGGGACCGUAAGGCCUCGCGCGAUCGGAGCGGCCGAUGUCAGAUUAGGUAGUUGGUGGGGUAAAGGCUCACCAAGCCAACGAUCUGUAGCUGGUCUGAGAGGACGACCAGGCACAAUGGGACUGAGACACGGCCCAGACACCUACGGGAGGCAGCAGUGGGGAAUUUUGGAAAAUGGGCGAAAGCCUGAUCCAGCAAUGCCGCGUGCAGGAAGAAGGCCUUCGGGUUGUAAACUGCUUUUGUACGGAGCGAAAAGGUCUCCUCUAAUACAGGGGGCUCAUGACGGUACCGUAAGAAUAAGCACCGGCUAACUACGUGCCAGCAGCCGCGGUAA
This 493-nucleotide ribosomal RNA is filed under the name uncultured bacterium. RNAcentral describes it as "partial 16S ribosomal RNA". It matches the Rfam family "Bacterial small subunit ribosomal RNA", at positions 29 to 523 of the family's 1533-position model. The record is from RNAcentral.